RNAcentral lists this ribosomal RNA (102 nucleotides) under uncultured bacterium. Its description in RNAcentral is "partial 16S ribosomal RNA". It matches the Rfam family "Bacterial small subunit ribosomal RNA", at positions 392 to 508 of the family's 1533-position model. The record is from RNAcentral.
CGACGCCGCGUGUGGGAUGACGGCCUUCGGGUUGUAAACCACUGUCGCGAGGGACGAAAAAAAUGACGGUACCUCGAAAGGAAGCACCGGCUAACUCUGUGC